Long non-coding RNA from Ochlerotatus camptorhynchus, 8464 nucleotides. RefSeq lists it as uncharacterized. The transcript has 2 exons. Lineage: Eukaryota; Metazoa; Arthropoda; Insecta; Diptera; Culicidae. The record is from RefSeq and is a predicted model, not a curated record.
AAUUCCAAACUAAAUGUGCAAAGAAUUUUAUGGAAAUUCCGAGGUUUAUUUCAAGGGCUUCUAGGAAUAAAUUUAAUCAGAAUUGCUUGUGUUCUCCCAGAGAGCAUUUCAAAUUUAUUUCAAGCUGACUGCCUACGUGGCGAAGAGAAGAUCGGUCGGCUGAAUAACAACAAAGCAACUGGUGUAGAUCAACUACCAAGUGAGCUAUUAAAAUACGGUGGUGAAGCACUGGCUAGAGCGCUGCCCUGGGUAAUUGCCAAGAUUUGGGAGGAGGAGAUAUUACCGGAGGAGUGGAUGGAAGGUGUCGGAUGCCCAAUCUACAAAAAGGGCGACAAGUUGGAUUGCUGCAUCUACCGCGCGAUCACACUGCUGAGCGCCGCCUACAAGGUACUCUCCCAAAUUCUAUGCCGCUGCCUGUCACCAUUUGCAAGAGAGUUCGUGGGGCCAUUUCCAGGUGGGAUUCAUGGGUGCCCGCGCUACCACGGACCAAAUUUUCGCGAUUCGGCAGGUUCUGCAGAAAUGCCGCGAAUACAACGUGCCCACACAUCAUUUGUUCAUCAAUUUCAAAUCCGCAUAUGACACAAUCGAUCGAGAUCAGCUAUGGCAGAUUAUGCACGAGUACGGAUUUCCGGAUAAACUGACGCGAUUGGUCAAGGCGACGAUGGAUCGAGUGAUGUGCGUUGUUCGAGUAUCGGGACACUCUCGAGUCCCUUUGAAUCUCGAAGGGGGUUACGAUAAGGUGAUGGACUUUCGUGUCUGCUAUUCAACAUCGCGUUAUAAGGUAUGAUCAGAAGAGCUGGGAUAGACACGAGUGGCACGAACUUCAGGAAGUCCAUCCAGCUUCUUGGCUUAGCCGUUGACAUCGACAUCAUGGCACGGAACUUUGAAACGAUUGCGGAAACGUACAUCAGACUGAAGCCUGAAGCUAGGCGGAUUGGACUUGCCAUCAAUGCAUCAAAGACAAAAUACAUGAAAGGAAGAGGUUCUAGGGAAGACAAUGUUAGGCUCUCACCCCGAGUUCAGAUUGACGGUGACGAAAUCGAGGAGGUCAAUGAGUUCGUGUAUUUGGGCUCACUGGUAACCGCCGAAAAUGCAACCAGCAGAGAAAUUCGAAGACGCUGAUUAGACCGGUGGUCCUCUACGGCCACGAGACCUGGACUAUGCUCGUGGAGGAACAACGCGCCCUUGGUGUUUUCGAACGCAAGGUGUGUUGCGUACCAUCUACGGUGGAGUGCAGAUGGAUGACGGAACGUGGAGGAGGCGAAUGAACCACGAAUUUCACCAGUGAAAAUGGUUCUAGAACGCGACCCAACAGGAACAAGAAGAAGAGGCGCGCAGCGGGCAAGGUGGAUCGACCAAGUAGAAGGCAACCUGCGGACCCUUCGCAGACUACGAAGCUGGCGAAGUGUGGCCAUGGAUCGAGUAGAGUGGAGACGACUUCUUUGGAAAGCAGAGGACAACAAAGCCUUAGCCUGAUUGACGACGACGACGCUCACGUGGCGGUCCUUCGCAAUGAAUUUGUUCCUUUGUCAUAUUCCUUCGACAACGUUGGUUCACCUAAAAUUUUCCCGAAAUCGAUUCCGGUAGUCACCGCAGGGAUCGAUCUAAAUUAGUUCAAUAAUGUAUCUGGCAGCACUGCAAAAGAACUGUCAACUGUAAACAAAUCAUGUCGAUGAACCAUCUUGUCCCGUGACACUUCUUGCCCUACCUUGCCCUAGUAAUUUCGAAUUUUAAAAGUUUCAAAAUUUCAAAGUAGUUCUGAGAAGUCUUCCACGGAGAUCGUGCAGGAAAUUCCAGAAAAAGGAGAUGAGAGUAUCAACACGUUUUUUUUUAAUUCCAUCGCAAUUUACUGUACAGUUUUGAGAAAAAUUUCAGCAGAAUUUUGAGGAUGAUUCCGAGAAAAUUCUGACAACGAUCCUGAGAAGAAGAAGUUCUCAUCAGUCAUCCAAGGGAAACUCUAAUAAGAGUUGCAAGGGAACUUGUGGUAAAACAUCCAAAAGUUUCCAGACAAGAAUUAACAAGAUUGCAAACUUUUCUUAUUCGAAACAUGGCUACUUCUUACUUGAAUCAAUUAAGAAAGGGGUGUCAUUUUCACGGUUUGCCAAGGACGUAGUAAAUCCUCACUAUGACUCUGCUUGGAAUGAACAUUAAUGAAAAUUAGUGAAGUUAAAUUAUUAAUGAGUUGUUUCCGAGCUAAUUCAGACCAGUCGAUUUGAAAAGUAACGCUUGUUUUUAAAAUUUCCGGGCACAGACAAGUCUUCAAGAUUCAGGGGCUUUCGAAUUUUCCAGAUCUCCUGCUUAUUUUCAAUGAGAUCUCAUGUUUAGAAAACUAAACAAGAUCCAGAACAAAUCUUCCAGAUUCUGGAAUUGGUGCGAUACGCCUGGCGUUGAAAAAACAUCCCAGACUCGAAGAAAUGUUCAAGAUCGUAAGCCAUGAAAAGUUUACAUGACUCUGAGAAAAAUAGGAGACUCUUCAAACUUUGACUUUGGGUGAUUUUUUUUUUUGAGUAUCGGAAUUUGGAAAAGGAUUUAGAUCUCGUACUUAAAAAUUGUGAGUCUUCUGAAAUUAUUUUAAAUUCUCGUGAAUUAGAGUAAUUGUCGGUACUAGACUAGAAUAAAUAUAAAAUUACAAUGUUGAAAAACUAGUUACCCACUAGAUCUAAUGACGUUCUGCCUAAUGACAACACGACAAAAAAUGUGUUGUCUCCUCCGCCCUUGAUACGCCUUUCAUAACGCUUCAUCACGCUGCAGUCCAUGCAGGCCCUUUGAUGGUGGGGGUGGCCGUGUAUUGCUGCUAGCUGACACGAGCUGUGCCGAACGUGCUAUUCGCCACUGCGGCUGUCUGCUUAAGCCUGGUACGCAGCUGAAAAGAAACGGAAAAGUAAUUUUUUAGGAAUAUUCCCAAAAGUAAAUUUGACAGCUAUAGGCAGGUGUCUUUUGCUAAAUUUUGAGAUCAUAGGGGGCUGUCGUCUAAUUUUAAAAUCAACAAUUAUCAGUUUUUAUGUUGUUAAAAUGCAUCCAAAACAUCAUUUUUACAGCAAACUUUAAAAUUACCUAACGGAAUAAUUGAUCAGACCAUUAUUCCGCAAGGAAAGUGAAUUUACAUUCAGAAUGCGAUCACGAUACUAAUGUAAUCGGUCUUUUCUUUACCGAUUUCUUUUGAACUGCGUACUGGGUCAAGAAAUGCUAAGGAAAAGUAAUUUCUUAAGCAGUCCGUGACCUAUCCCGUAGCACGUAAAAAUGUCAUUACUUUUCAGCUACGUACCAGGCUUUACGUGGUGGUCAUUUGCAAUGGCUAUUGUUCCUUUGUCGUAUUCCUUCGAAACCGAUUCCGGUAGUCAUCACAGUGAUCCACCUAGGCGAUACAGUUUUAUGUAUCUGCUAAAUGCAGUCCUGCUUGUCGAAUGACUGUGGAGGCGAAACUGACUCGAGUGGCGUAGCCUCCGCAGUCAGAACGUUUAGUUUUUAAAAUUUACCCAAGGCCAUACGAUGAAGAUGAUGAUAGUCUUCUAAUGCUGAUGACCGUCGAAACGGCAUUGCAUUUGCACAGCAAAUCAGAAUUAUUUCUUCCCAGCCACUUCUCGCAACUUGAAACCUUUAAUAACCCUCGGGACAACCGACAGUUACAAACAUACCGUCUACACUGAGAAAAAAUUGAACUUUUAUAUUCAUAAGUCUUAUUUAACGUUAUCAGAAAAUCUAAUGAUAAUUGCCGUUGUAAAUUCGGAAGUGCUGCCGGUUAUAUGAGAGAAUAAUAAGAAGAACGUUCUGUACUUUUUUUUUAUCUUUUAAAACACGUCUCCUAACACUCUCAAAUGAUACUCAACUGAACAUUCUUAAGAUUUACUAUUCUGUUUGGUACAGAAAUCCACUGAGACCAGUAAUUGAUCUUUCAAUUGCAUAAUCAAAUGCAGAAUUUUCUUACAAACAGGCUGGUUGCUUUGGUAAACAAUGCCCCAUCUGAUAGAGGAAUAUUCUGGUAUCAAUCAAUAAUGUUGAUAAGCGCGGGCGAGUUAAGAAAAUCAAACUUGAAGUCGUUGUUAAAAAAAAGAAGUCAGGCCACGUUAGUAAAAGAAAUCUGCAGGAUUAUAAUUUGAUUACCUAACCAUACAAACUGUCUGAAACUGAAUGCUGUUAAGCAAAGUGAAAUAAUAAAUUAACGGAAGGGAACCUACAAAUGCAACUCGUAAAGUGCCAAAGUCUGUUGUUGGAAAUCCUCAACACAGAACACACCGUAAGAGAAUGUACUUAGUUGCAGAAUCAACCAUCAGAAGAAGAAAAAAAAACAGAAAUCUAAAAAGCCAGAAAUCUAGGUAAAGAGUAGUGAGUAGCAUCACAAAUAAGUAUCCGAUUAUUUUCCCCCCUAGUUGCACCGUGCACGCGUCAUCAUCUAGUGAGAGCAAUUUACGCAAGCCAAGUAGUAUCAAAAGCGCGUUGGAAAUAAGCUGAAACAGAAGCAAAGGAAUGUUUUUCGUUCAACAGUGCAGUGCAAGCAAAAAUAAGGAAACAUACAAAUAGAUUAGCGUGUUCUGCCAAUGAGCCAGGUGUUCGUUUCAGUAGAAAAACAACAAAAGAAGAAAAAAAGAAAAGGUAAAUAGCGCGAGGUGAAAUUCGAGGAAAGCGUUGAGAUCCAAAAGGAAGCGUUACAUACAUACAUAUAUUUUGUAUAAACUUAUUUAGGGAUUCUAAAAGCAUUCGAACGCAUUCGAAUGAGAAUUAAAUGAUAGAGAAUGUCUUUUGUGAAAGCUUAUUAGCGCAGUAAAAAAAAACUAAAAAAAAAAAUGACAAAAUAAACAGGGUGACACAGUGAAAAUUUAGCUCUAUUGAAGAAAAACUACACAAGGAAAACGAGUAAACAGUGAAGUAGAUGCCCGAAGCAAGAAGUGAAGAUUGUCUAGUAACUUAGUGAAAAGCUCAAGUAGAUCGAAUUUAUUUAACCCUAAAGACUAUCACGUUUUUACUCUUAAUCAUAUCCUAUAGAAACCUAUCCAUACACACACACCUACUACACACAAACACACGCGCGUAAUAAGGAAGGAUGUGACAAGUAGUUGUUGUCAUAGUACUACUAUAUCACACAAUCUUUAGAGUAAACAAAACAACAAUACAUAUUGCAAAACAGGUUGGCUAUAUAGCGACGACUUUUCUACACACACAAUAUCAUAACCCCCCCUAACAUAUCAGACUAAUCGAUGUGAAUCCCUUUUUCCCGAAUGAAGAAAAAAAUUGAUCCACUUUUCAAAAAGCAACCCUCAAUGAUACUUUUGCUUUUCUUAAAAAUGAAGAAACAUCACGACGAAACAUAACCCGUCAUUGUCUCGUCGUUGUGGUCGUCAUCAUCGUCGUACUAGCGGCAUGAGGAAGAAAAAAAAAGUGACAGACGAAAACAAAAACAAAACUAUCAACAAAAGUCUUCUUACCUGACGAAACUGCUAGAGGGAGACAAAACAGUUCAAUUUGGUUUCGAAGGAACAAAUAAUAGAUCGUAAAUAAAUAAAGAAUAAAAAGAGAAAAACAUGUUGUACAAAGUAAGCAAGUAGAAGAAAAUACGUUAAAAACAAAAAGAAAAAAAAACAGAAAAAACAAACAAAAGCUAGCGAAAAUUCCGGUGUUGUAACGCAAGUAGAGUAAUGCAAUUGGAACAAAUGAUGCAAACACCCAAACAUGCAUGCAUGACAGUACGUGAUUUCAUGACACAGAUUUCAGUUUUUGAAACAAAGUUGCUGAGGAGAUGAUGUGUGUAGAAAGCAAAAGCCAAAUGAGAGGUAAAAAUGCGUUUUAAAAGCAGUGCAGCAGAUACUGGAACAAUGUAGCAUUCGCCCGAUCAUGGUAGAGUUAAAUUUAAUUAAAUUGCCACACACCCAGUCACUGGCUUCGUCGGCUUGGUGUGCCAUUAUUGUCGGGUUUUUAUUUUUGUCGAGGACCAUGGAAAUUCAAUUGCCGGUAGAAAUGUGCAGCGGAAUUUGUCUCCCACAUCAACGACAUCAACGACGAUUGGUAGGAAAAGUGACACACGAUGGCAGUCAGAGCAUGUUUUAUCAAUUAGUGUGAAAUAUGUGCAGUUAAUGAAAUUAUGCACAUGAUAAUGUAGAGAGCGAGAGAGAGAGAGAGAGUGCGGGAGAAUCUAUUUGCGAACAUAUUUGCCACGACCGGCUGGGGGAACUGGGCGAUGGUGGGCAGGGUGUUGUAAUUGUUUGUCGCCAUUCGAUAGGCAGCCAGCUGUCGCUGAUUGUUUGUUGUUUGCAUAGUUUUCUGUUUAGCAAAUAAAUUGGAUUGACUAUCAGAAAUCAAUUUUUGCACUUUGAGUGACCUUGUGCGCUGCUGGAGUUGGUUAAGUGCUAGUGGGAGUUGUUUUCAAAAUGAUUUUGUAAUUUCGAAUCACAAAUGCGUAUUUCCGUCAUUUAAAUGCGAUUUGCUUAUUGGAAUAUUUUAAAAUGAUUUCCUGAAUGAUCAGUGACUAGGCUACACGCGAACCAAGAAAAAAAAAAUCAUAGAACGUUGGCAUGUUAUCUUACCAUCUUUGCAUGACAAAUUAAAUAGCGUACAAACAAAGCGAUUUACAAUACUUCGCUUAAUAAUAGGUUUUAUUUUAACUCAAUAUGGUGGAAAGCAACAUAUUUAUAAAAUUAUAUAAUCCAUUGAAGUUUUUCAAAAGCCAUGAUUAAAACGGGUAAUUAUUUUUUCAGUCCAUUGUCAGCACUGUUCGUGUGAACAUUCGAAAUGAGUGACAAACUCAUUUAAAAAUUUAAUUUAACGGUGUUCUCUGCAUUUUCAGAAAAAGUCUUCUUCUGUUUCUACUGUUUCUUCUUUGCAUUUCAAGAUUAUUGCUUAUCGCAUAUUAGCUUAUUGCGUACUCUCAACUUAGUGUUCUAGGUGCACUUCCACAGUUAUUAAUUAUGAGCUUUCGAUAGAGUCGCCGUGUGUGUAGUGGUAAGUGUGAUUGCCUCUCACCCCAAAAGGCCAGAGUUCAAUCCCAGUCGGCGCCGCCGGGAUUCUCUGAGGCAUAAAAUCUCUGAUCACGCAGGGAUGAAAAGCCGUUGGUCUCCGGUCUAUGAGUUGAUGGGUCGAUAGCUAGGGCCCAGGUGUGGGAGCUGCCUCCCUUGCCUGGCGUCGGAAGCAUUGAUACUCAGUACGGAAAACAAAUUAAGAAAAAAAAGAGCUUUCGAUGCCUGUACCAUUUUUGUUUUAGAAUAAAUGUGUGGCAAGUACUUACAAUCAUACUCUAUACCCAGGGAAGUCGAAAAAUUUUCCAACUCGAAAAAUUCUUAAACUUGACCGGGAAUCUAACCCAGUUAUUUCCUGCAUGGUCUUGCUUUGUAGCUGCGCCUCUACUGACUGAGCUAAUCGAGGCCCCAAAACAUUAAAACUGUCCAUAAUUUAAAAAAAAUAUUGACUUUACAUUUAAUGUUUUAUGCCUGAAAUUUGAACCAAAUGAUUGAUUGUUUCAGGUGGCCAAAUUCGGUAAAAAAAAGCAAAAAUUUGAGAAGAUAAAAAUUUAAAUGCAUAGAUUUGGACAAUAACUUAGCUGUGAUGUGUUUUGGAAUCCAACUAUCCUUCAAUGUUCCAGAAAAGAGUUCCAAUUGAAAUCAAAUAAAUAAAUGUUCAAUAUAGACACAACAAUACGACGCUCUAAACAUAAACAAUGCGGCUUACUUCGAUCGAUUUUUAUUCAAAACUACGGGCCCAAAUGUGGGAAGAUGCGGAAAGGCUGCGUCAUGCUCGAUAGUUGGGACCUGUUCAAAUAUUACGCAACGCAAAACUUUUGUUUUUACGUAUGUAUGCGGCGAUACGUAAUAUUUAAUGGGCACUUGUCACAAAUAACAUCAACAUGGGUAACUGGAGUCGAUUUGAUUUAAAUUAGUUUUCUAUCUAACAGGUAGCUUUACUUCUUCUGCGAUAGAGAUUUUUAACGUUUAAUCCUUUAUAAGGCACUGGCCACCAACAAUCAAUAUUUUUUCUGCUCACUCGUAAUUUGUUUUCAAUUUAUGUUUUAACUGGUGGAAACUUCUAACAUUUGUCAAUAAUCCUUUUUUUUAGCCACAUCAAAUGAAAUUUUUUAAUUUGACAGCAAUAUUAAUGUCAACAAACCUCCAAUUUUGAUCCAUACAAAAUUAAACUGUUGUAACUUUAUUCACAUUUUAUUAAAAUGUAAGCCAAAUAAUCACAAAUGAGCAUAAUUUAAGCUCAUUUGCCUCCUUGGUUUUUUUUAAUGUGUCAGUUUGAAAAAAAAGGUUCUCAAAUAAGAAGAGAUUUACUAAAAUUGCUCAUGGCGCAGACCCUAUCGAUCAAGCCCAAAAUAUAUUGAAUAUUUGUGGGGGAGGAAACUAUUUGUGACAACCAGCUGGUGCCAUGAAGUACACUGAACGAUGCGUUUUAAAACCCGUGCAGACCAUCAUUACCGAGCGUGGAAAGCUGGAUUGAACAGAAUUGCAUUACGCAUUUAUACUACCAAAAAAAAAAACAA